Molecule: long non-coding RNA, 421 nt
Organism: Pyrus x bretschneideri (Chinese white pear)
Lineage: Eukaryota; Viridiplantae; Streptophyta; Magnoliopsida; Rosales; Rosaceae
Exons: 3
Source: RefSeq, a predicted model, not a curated record
CAAGACUUUAUCUACCGUUUACAAGUCAACCCCAUAAUACCAAAGUACAAGAGAAGCAAACAUUAGAGAUCAACCUAUAAGUCAAACUCCCAUUCCAGAUCAAACUAUUGAGUCACAUCCCCAUUUCAGAGCAAACUGGGAACGAGGAGAAGCAAUAGGGCUUGGCUAUUUCUGGGGCAUCGGUCGUUUUGAGAUUCUGGUGUAAUUAGAAAGUCGGGUCGUGGGAGGAAGAAGCUGGUUUGUUGCCAUUUUUAGGUAUAUAAUUAUGUGGCCUGAUAGCAUAUUCAAAGCCUAUUUAGUUAUAUGGGUUUUUUAUUUAUCUUUCUAAAGCUUUUCUGCCUGGAUUUUAAAUGUGAUUGAUAAUUACUUAGCACGAUAAUUGUCAAGCAUUUAAUCGUUAUUCAUGAAUACAAAAUCUUCA